UCACCCCUCAAGCUCCCCCGGCUUGGUGUUGGACGGUUUAGCCUUGGUGACGAGGCCCGUUUUAAAGUCAAUGACGGCGGCCUGUUUGAAACCCCCGGUACACCGAGCUUCUUAACUGAGCACGUAUCGGUUGAAGGGUAGGCAGAACCCGGUCUUCUUCCUUAACCGGAAACUCUUUCUAA
This 182-nucleotide unclassified non-coding RNA is filed under the name uncultured Herpotrichiellaceae. RNAcentral's name for it is "sequence contains ITS2". The record is from RNAcentral. Lineage: Eukaryota; Fungi; Ascomycota; Eurotiomycetes; Chaetothyriales; Herpotrichiellaceae.